Molecule: ribosomal RNA, 501 nt
Filed under: uncultured Glomeromycotina
Lineage: Eukaryota; Fungi; Glomeromycota
Description: partial small subunit ribosomal RNA
Rfam family: Eukaryotic small subunit ribosomal RNA
Source: RNAcentral
CCAAUAGCGUAUAUUAAAGUUGUUGCAGUUAAAAAGCUCGUAGUUGAAUUUCGGGAUCAAUACGUCGGUCGUGCUUUCGGGUACGUACUGGUGUCAUUGGUUUCUCCUUUCUGACGAACCAUGAUGUCAUUAAUUUGGUGUUAUGGGGAGUUAGGACUGUUACUUUGAAAAAAUUAGAGUGUUUAAAGCAGGCAUUAGCUUGAAUACAUUAGCAUGGAAUAAUGAAAUAGGACGUUCGAUCCUAUUUUGUUGGUUUCUAGGAUCAACGUAAUGAUUAAUAGGGAUAGUUGGGGGCAUUAGUAUUCAAUUGUCAGAGGUGAAAUUCUUGGAUUUAUUGAAGACUAACUACUGCGAAAGCAUUUGCCAAGGAUGUUUUCAUUAAUCAAGAACGAAAGUUAGGGGAUCGAAGACGAUCAGAUACCGUCGUAGUCUUAACCAUAAACUAUGCCGACUAGGGAUCGGAUGAUGUUAAUUUUCUAAUGACUCAUUCGGCGCCUUACG